Molecule: ribosomal RNA, 361 nt
Filed under: uncultured bacterium
Lineage: Bacteria
Description: bacterial SSU rRNA
Rfam family: Bacterial small subunit ribosomal RNA
Source: RNAcentral
AACGAACGCUGGCGGCAGGCCUAACACAUGCAAGUCGAGCGCCCCGCAAGGGGAGCGGCGCACGGGUGAGUAACGCGUGGGAAUAUGCCCUGGGGCUGGGGAUAACGGCGGGAAACUGCCGCUAAUACCCGGUACGCCAUGAGUGGGAAAGGAGCAAAUCCGCCCUGGGAGUAGCCCGCGUUGGAUUAGCUAGUUGGUGUGGUAAGAGCGCACCAAGGCGACGAUCCAUAGCUGGUCUGAGAGGAUGAUCAGCCACACUGGGACUGAGACACGGCCCAGACUCCUACGGGAGGCAGCAGUGGGGAAUAUUGGACAAUGGGGAAACCCUGAUCCAGCCAUGCCGCGUGUGCGAUGAAGGCCU